AGACAGGCUGUUACGCUAUGCUGUUAACAGCGCUGCUGUAGUGGCACAUUUUUAGAUCAUAGCAAGCCCCAACAUACACGUCUGCCCAUAGAUUAAGUGCAUAUUAAGCUCAAAAAUUGUUUCACCAUGUGCCAAUCAAAAAGUUUUGAUAAAAUAUGCACCUGGUGGUUUGCAAUAUGGAACAUAAUCCUCGGCCUUAUAUGGAGCUUUCUGGGCUAUCUCGCCAUCAUCGGACACGAGCGUAAGUACAAAUUUCCAACUGUAAAUUCCAACUAGCAAAAACUAAUCGGAUGUUUUUUUAGAUGGCAUACGUUCACGGUAUUACGACACAGUUGUUUGUUUGUUUACAAUUUCGAUCUGUAUUUGUGCGCCGCUACAUGUGUUGUCUGGCAUUUUGAUAAUGCUUGGAGAUUGGAAGGUCUGUUAGUUCCCUUGUUUCCCUUACCAAACCAUUUUAGAUAAGUUUUUAACCUGCAGGAUAGCAAACGGAUGUUCACAUUUGGUAAAAACCUGAGCAAUUUAUUCCCAUUCUUUUUGCUGGGCACCAUUAUAUUUCCAAGUAGGUGGCUCGACAGAAUCAAUAUUGUUUUUUUCUCAUUUGAAUUUCUUUAUCUCUGAUUUCAGUCAUACACUUCGCUGCCCUAACCAGGGUGUGCCGCUAUUAUGAAAAGCGCUGGAAGUCAAUGCCGUUUUCCGAUUCCAAUUAAAAUUUUAGACACACAGCCCAAAGGGUCAUCAAGGGUAUACAACGUUCGGAUCCUGUUUUUUGAUUAAAAACUCCCAAUUGGAUGUAUGGCUGCAAUCAGCAGCACGCUUCAGC
This 820-nucleotide long non-coding RNA is filed under the name Drosophila guanche. The record is from RNAcentral. Lineage: Eukaryota; Metazoa; Arthropoda; Insecta; Diptera; Drosophilidae.